RNAcentral lists this ribosomal RNA (253 nucleotides) under uncultured prokaryote. RNAcentral's name for it is "partial 16S ribosomal RNA". It matches the Rfam family "Bacterial small subunit ribosomal RNA", at positions 525 to 777 of the family's 1533-position model. The record is from RNAcentral.
ACGGGGGGGGCAAGCGUUGUUCGGAAUUACUGGGCGUAAAGGGCUCGUAGGCGGCCAACUAAGUCAGACGUGAAAUCCCCAGGCUCAACCUGGGAACUGCGUCUGAUACUGGAUGGCUUGAAUCCGGGAGAGGGAUGCAGAAUUCCAGGUGUAGCGGUGAAAUGCGUAGAUAUCUGGAGGAACAACAGUGGCGAAGGCGGCUGUCUGGACUCUUACUGACGCUUAGGCGCGAAAGCGUGGGGAGCAAACAGGA